This 514-nucleotide ribosomal RNA is filed under the name uncultured bacterium. RNAcentral describes it as "bacterial SSU rRNA". It matches the Rfam family "Bacterial small subunit ribosomal RNA", at positions 8 to 521 of the family's 1533-position model. The record is from RNAcentral.
AGAGUUUGAUCCUGGCUCAGGACGAACGCUGGCGGCGUGCUUAACACAUGCAAGUCGAACGAGAAUCUGCGGAACGAGGAUUCGUCCAAGUGAAGCAGAGGACAGUGGCGGACGGGUGAGUAACGCGUGAGGAACCUGCCUUUCAGAGGGGGACAACAGUUGGAAACGACUGCUAAUACCGCAUGACACAUAGAUGUCGCAUGGCAUUUAUGUCAAAGAUUUAUCGCUGAAAGAUGGCCUCGCGUCUGAUUAGCUAGUUGGUGAGGUAACGGCCCACCAAGGCGACGAUCAGUAGCCGGACUGAGAGGUUGAACGGCCACAUUGGGACUGAGAUACGGCCCAGACUCCUACGGGAGGCAGCAGUGGGGAAUAUUGGGCAAUGGGCGCAAGCCUGACCCAGCAACGCCGCGUGAAGGAAGAAGGCUUUCGGGUUGUAAACUUCUUUUGUCAGGGACGAGCAGAAGACGGUACCUGACGAAUAAGCCACGGCUAACUACGUGCCAGCAGCCGCGGU